AAAUUGGCCACCAAUGGCACCAACCACAAACUAUAGUAGGAAAAAGCUUUUAGUUGGGGCGACUACGGAGAAAAACAAAACCUCCACGAACCAGGAUUCCAUCCAAUAUAGGCCGACGGGCCAAAAUUAACGCACUUUGACCCAGCCAAGCUGAUCGACGAACCAAGUUACCCCGGGGAUAACAGCGCCAUCCUCUUUCAGAGUCCCUAUCGCCAAGAGGGCUUACGACCUCGAUGUUGGAUCAGGGCCCCCAGGCAGUGCAGCCGCCGCCAAAGGUUCGUUUGUUCAACGACUAACGCCCUACGUGAUCU
RNAcentral lists this ribosomal RNA (311 nucleotides) under Paroedura stumpffi. RNAcentral's name for it is "partial large subunit ribosomal RNA". It matches the Rfam family "Bacterial large subunit ribosomal RNA", at positions 2212 to 2606 of the family's 2925-position model. Lineage: Eukaryota; Metazoa; Chordata; Lepidosauria; Squamata; Gekkonidae. The record is from RNAcentral.